Molecule: unclassified non-coding RNA, 348 nt
Filed under: soil metagenome
Description: partial contains 5.8S ribosomal RNA, internal transcribed spacer 2, and large subunit ribosomal RNA
Rfam family: 5.8S ribosomal RNA (bases 1-120)
Source: RNAcentral
GAUGAAGAACGUAGCGAAAUGCGAUAAGUAGUGUGAAUUGCAGAAUUCAGUGAAUCAUCGAAUCUUUGAACGCACAUUGCGCCCUCUGGUAUUCUGGAGGGCAUGCCUGUUCGAGCGUCAUUAAAACUACUCAAGCUAAGGGUUUACCUUCUGCUUGGUCUUGGGUUUGAGGAUUCAAAAUCCUCUCUCCGAAAUCCAGUGGCGAAUUGUUUGAGCUGUAGACGUAGUAAAUCAUUCUACCCGUUGCAAGCGAGAAUAAUAUUCAGCCAUAACCCCCAUACUUUUCUAGUUUGACCUCGGAUCAGGUAGGGAUACCCGCUGAACUUAAGCAUAUCAAUAAGCGGAGGA